ACGCGAGGAACCUUACCAGGUCUUGACAUCCCACUGACCGCUAUGGAGACAUAGCUUUCCCUUCGGGGACAGUGGUGACAGGUGGUGCAUGGUUGUCGUCAGCUCGUGUCGUGAGAUGUUGGGUUAAGUCCCGCAACGAGCGCAACCCUUGUCCUUAGUUGCCAUCAUUUAGUUGGGCACUCUAAGGAGACUGCCGAUGACAAAUCGGAGGAAGGUGGGGAUGACGUCAAAUCAUCAUGCCCCUUAUGACCUGGGCUACACACGUGCUACAAUGGACGGUACAAACGGUUGCGAAGUCGCGAGAUGGAGCUAAUCUGAUAAAACCGUUCUCAGUUCGGAUUGUAGGCUGCAACUCGCCUACAUGAAGCUGGAAUCGCUAGUAAUCGCGGAUCAGCAUGCCGCGGUGAAUACGUUCCCGGGCCUUGUACUCACCGCCCGU
RNAcentral lists this ribosomal RNA (439 nucleotides) under uncultured bacterium. Its description in RNAcentral is "bacterial SSU rRNA". It matches the Rfam family "Bacterial small subunit ribosomal RNA", at positions 959 to 1397 of the family's 1533-position model. The record is from RNAcentral.